UUAAUUGAAACCAAAAUAGAGGUUUGUCACUGUUAAUGACACCAAUGAGAUCUAAUCUCCAAUUAAA
This 67-nucleotide transfer RNA is filed under the name Dicronychus cinereus. RNAcentral's name for it is "tRNA-Asn". Lineage: Eukaryota; Metazoa; Arthropoda; Insecta; Coleoptera; Elateridae. The record is from RNAcentral. RNAcentral also lists the same sequence under 1 other name.